This 476-nucleotide ribosomal RNA is filed under the name Enterococcus alishanensis. RNAcentral's name for it is "bacterial SSU rRNA". It matches the Rfam family "Bacterial small subunit ribosomal RNA", at positions 330 to 802 of the family's 1533-position model. Lineage: Bacteria; Bacillati; Bacillota; Bacilli; Lactobacillales; Enterococcaceae. The record is from RNAcentral.
UCCGGAGACCUACGGGUGGCAGCAGUGAGGAAUAUUGGUCAAUGGACGAGAGUCUGAACCAGCCAAGUAGCGUGCAGGAAGACGGCCCUAUGGGUUGUAAACUGCUUUUAUAAGGGAAUAAAGUGAGUCUCGUGAGACUUUUUGCAUGUACCUUAUGAAUAAGGACCGGCUAAUUCCGUGCCAGCAGCCGCGGUAAUACGGAAGGUCCGGGCGUUAUCCGGAUUUAUUGGGUUUAAAGGGAGCGUAGGCCGGAGAUUAAGCGUGUUGUGAAAUGUAGACGCUCAACGUCUGCACUGCAGCGCGAACUGGUUUCCUUGAGUACGCACAAAGUGGGCGGAAUUCGUGGUGUAGCGGUGAAAUGCUUAGAUAUCACGAAGAACUCCGAUUGCGAAGGCAGCUCACUGGAGCGCAACUGACGCUGAAGCUCGAAAGUGCGGGUAUCGAACAGGAUUAGAUACCCUUGUAGUCCUUCGCCU